GGGUUUUGCAGUUUAGGUGCGGCCAAGUUUGAUACAGUGACAUUUGAUGACAUAUGGAAGAUAUUUUCAUAAAAAUUUGUAUCAAAACUUAUUACAACGGCACUUAUCCAGCUUGAAGCAACUUUUAUUUUAUAUGCAGAAGAUACUGAUUCUAUAUAGAGAUAAUGGUUUUAGUGAUAAGAGGAGUAUUCAAUUUGAUCUUUACUCUGAAGAUGUAAAACCUGAAGACUAUGGACACUCUGUUCAACGGAAGAUCAUAGCUGAUCUUUCUGCUGCUUUUCAAUGUAGUAUGAUAUUUUCUUCGAAAUCUUCAAAAUUUGCAGCAUGUUCUCGAUAAAUUAUAUUUUAUAAGUGUUCUGCAGCCAGAAAUUACGAAGAUUAAGACUAAAUAAACGAUGUGGCUAGGAGGUAGAAACGCGUCAAUAUUCACUCUGACGAAAUGUCGCAAAAGCUACAAUUCAGUGUGUCUAAUACAGUGGUUCUCAACCGCCGUUCCGCGGAACACUGCUGUUCCGCGAAACUAUUCAAAGUGUUCCGCGAAAUAAUUUAUUAAAUAAUUAAGUAUUAAAUGUUCAAGUAAUCGG
RNAcentral lists this long non-coding RNA (584 nucleotides) under Androctonus crassicauda. The record is from RNAcentral. Lineage: Eukaryota; Metazoa; Arthropoda; Arachnida; Scorpiones; Buthidae.